Molecule: transfer RNA, 72 nt
Filed under: Hyporhamphus intermedius
Lineage: Eukaryota; Metazoa; Chordata; Actinopteri; Beloniformes; Hemiramphidae
Description: tRNA-Thr
Rfam family: tRNA
About the family: Transfer RNA (tRNA) molecules are approximately 80 nucleotides in length.
Source: RNAcentral
GCACUAGUAGCUCAGCCCCAGAGCAUCGGUCUUGUAAGCCGAACGUCGAAGGUUAAAGUCCUUCCUACUGCU